Molecule: ribosomal RNA, 462 nt
Filed under: uncultured soil bacterium
Lineage: Bacteria
Description: bacterial SSU rRNA
Rfam family: Bacterial small subunit ribosomal RNA
Source: RNAcentral
AGGACGAACGCUGGCGGCAUGCCUAACACAUGCAAGUCGAACGAGCUCUUCGGAGCUAGUGGCGCACGGGUGCGUAACGCGUGGGAAUCUGCCCUUGGGUUCGGGAUAACAGUUGGAAACGACUGCUAAUACCGGAUGAUGACUUCGGUCCAAAGAUUUAUCGCCCAGGGAUGAGCCCGCGUCGGAUUAGCUAGUUGGUGGGUAAAAGCCUACCAAGGCAACGAUCCGUAGCUGGUCUGAGAGGAUGAUCAGUCACACUGGGACUGAGACACGGCCCAGACUCCUACGGGAGCAGCAGUGGGGAAUAUGGACAAUGGGCGAAAGCCUGAUCCAGCAAUGCCGCGUGAGUGAGUGAAGGUCCUUAGGGUUGUAAAGCUACGUUUUACCCGGGAUGAAUAAUGACAGGUACCGGAAGAACGUAACGCCCCCGGACUAACCGUCCGCGACCGAGACCGAGCCGAC